This is a long non-coding RNA of Cyanistes caeruleus (blue tit), 4038 nucleotides long. RefSeq lists it as uncharacterized. Lineage: Eukaryota; Metazoa; Chordata; Aves; Passeriformes; Paridae. The record is from RefSeq and is a predicted model, not a curated record.
GGUGUGACGAGCAGUCGGCUCCCCCGGCCGUCGCCGCUGUCCUGCCUCCAGCGGUUCCCCAUCCUCGGCUCUGCGGACCCCUGCGCUGCCGGGAGCGCCCCGGGAUCGGGGAGCGCGAAAAGACGGAACACUCCUGCAGCGGCGCUCGGUGUGGCCGGCGGGAGCGGAGAUGCAGGGAACGGGCCGUGUCGGCAUGUGGGUGCGGAUAGUUGGUGGUGAAGUUGUUCAGGAGAGAUGGCGUGUUCCCCUCUCUGUUCUCUUGCUCUUCUCCAAAGUAAAUAAGUGCUAGCGGACUCGUACCAAGUUAGAGACGCAUCAUCCCGGCCGCUGACGUCUUGAUACCCGGUCAGUGACUAACUGAACUGCUAUUGCCAAGGGUGUGUUAAUAGAAGAAACUCUGCCUAGUAUUGCCCUGGAUGAGUCACAUUUAAAGAGAGACUCUCGAGUCUGCUGAAGGAAAAGCAGGAACGAGCCUCACUUUCCUUUUUUGUUGCUGGUUUUUUCUUUCCAUCCCACCCCUCACCUUUGCUCACUGUUUACUACUUCUUGUGCCAGGGCUCUGCUGGCACUCCAGUCCUGGCUGAGCGUUUGCAGAGCUGCCUUGCCCGAUGUGGUGUGAUGUCACGCAGGGGACUCUGACUUCAUGGCCCCGAGGAACAGGAAGGCGAGCCAGGCAGGGACUUUUCCAGCCACCCAGGGUCGUUGUCGUUAAAAACGGAGGAAGUGACGAAGCAGAUGGCUUCUCCUACAAAGUUAUCUCUUGCGAUUUUAUGCUGGUGAAGAAGCUGGGUAGUUGAAAAGUGUAUUUUCUGAAGAGCAGCACAGCUUCAUUGUCAGCUGAAGUUCCUAAUAACCAGCUAGGAUUCACCUCAGCUGCUGAGGUUUCCUGAAAGCACCCAGGUAUUCCCCCUACUCUUGGGGCUGCUCUCAUGUAGCCCUGGGCUGUAACAAAGGCUUGAUCUGAAGGAAUUAGCAGUGCUCUGGUCAAUAAGUAGUUAAUUGCACAGAAGGCAGAGCAAGGUCCUCUGUCAGUAGUGUCUCUCUAAGAAGUUUUGCCUGUCCCUAUCUCUCCUUCAUGCUCUUUGUAAUUUCUGCCUCUGGGUCCCAGAGGACCAUCUGCUCUUCACAAGAAAACUCAGCUCCCUCUGUGCUCUGUUUUUCCAUAGUGCUCAAACACCCUGGGAAGAUGGGAAAACCAACUGAAUUUACCCAAGAUGCUUUCAUGUUUGUUCAGAAGCCGAAUGGGCCUUUUUUUGGUGGGGGGGGAGAGGGGGCAGGGCUCAGACAAGUUCAUGGCUGUCUCAGCCCCGGAUUGCUUUUUUCUUCCCUAGCUGCACCUAGAGCAUCUUCCCACUGCUGGUCCCAAGCAGGCAGGAGCACAGUGUAGCCACAUGGAGAGAGGGAAACCUGGUGCUAAAUCCACCCAUGUACGAGUGUGUCUGAGAGCUGAAACUGAAGGCCAGAGUCCCCUGCCAACCCAUUUUAUUGGUGACCAUGCAAGUAACAAACCUGUGUCUGAAAAUGAAGAUGCUUUGUUUCUCUUUGAAUAAACAGCCCUGCGUCUGGGACUGUGCUGGCUGAUGACUUAACCCCGGGAGAUGCCGCUGGCAGAAGCAGCUCUGCAGGUCGCCUGGCAAGACCUGUCCCAGUUCCCCUGAGCAGCACUAUGGUAUGAAUGCUUCUGACUUCCUGCUACCAAUGGAACCAUCCUGUUCAGCUCCACUCUUCAUGGAGGGAAGGGAACAGGCCUUACCCUUCAAGUACCACGCUAAGAAGCGCCUGUUGUGUCCUGUCCAUAACAUGUCCCAGUGUCAGGGCAAGGUAGAAUGCAGUCAGUCUGCACUCUGAGAUGGAGAAGGAAAAAUCAUCAUAGGAGAGCAGAGAAUGCUCCCUGCAUGGACACACACACCGGUUCAAACAGCUCUUCUUCAUCUACAGUGAACUAUGCUAGUAGAAUCUGUGCAGCCAGGAGCAAGCAGCAGAGCAUCUGUACACCACUUGGGGAGCAAAACCAACAGGCAUUUUCUCCUCCAGACAUUCACACCUUUCCUUAUGUAACUGGUGCUGAAGUGUGUACUUUAAAAGCUGCUUGCCAAAUCCAGGGGCUGGGAGGCAGCACAAAUGCUUCUAGCACUCUAGCUGAAAUUGAGGGGGAAAAAAAAUCCAAACCCAAACACCCAGGAACUUGUAGGAAUACGUAACCGCAACCUGGGGAUGGUUCAAGUGUCUGCAGCAGUGUUACCCUGAAGAAACUGCAUUGGCCUAGGGCAGUGCUGGCACCCAGACCACCAUCUGAUAAGGAUGGUGAGGAGCUGACAGUCCAGAAUAGAGGAGCAAGGAGCUGGGGGUUAUUUUUCUUAUGCAAUAUUAAAAAAAAAAAAAACCCUAAAAAAAAAUAAAAAAUCAGGUAGUGCAGCCAGGAAAAGGGUGCCAGGGAGACUGGAGGUGGCUGAAAUGCUCUUCUGAAUGGUGCCUUGUGUUGACCGAACCUGCAGAUUUAUUAAAAAAAAAACAAAAAACAAAAAUGUGGGGCUGCUCACCAGUGAAAAACAGAUAUAUCCUUUGCUUUGUGAUUUUUUGGUGACACUGGAGCUAGCCAGGAGAAACAUCUGAGGAGAGAGAAGCUCUGAAGUCCAUUCCUGCCCACUCCAGGGCAGGAAGAAGCUGCCCACAGUGCCUGAGGGACAUGGGGACAUGAGUCCCUGCACAGCCAGGCACAGCAUCCUCGAGCCACCCUGCACACUUGGAUCCCUGCCUUGGCCCGUGAGCCAGUUGUUCCCUCUCCAGUACGCGCAGUACGCUGGGCUUUUGGUUUGUUUUUUAAGGGAAAAAACAAUAAUUUAUUUGCUUUGUUUUAAUCUCAUAACAAUGGGUAAUGGUAAUUUCCUCCUACCACUCCGUAGUGGCCUAGAAAAGGACAGCAUCAUCUCCACUGUAGCAAGAAGGCUUGUCCCAGGGCAUAAAAUUUUAAUUAGGAACAAUCACGCAGCCUUGAAAUGGGAAUUGCGAGCAGCAAAAAAGUCAAACCAUCAAUAAAAUAUUCAAUGGCAGAAAUGUAUUAUUGACACAGACUUUAGAGCAGAUAAAAGCCGGAAGGCGGGGGAGCGGGUAUCGAGCCUCGCUGCGUUAAAUAACCGGCGGGGACCCGCGCGCUCGCCCGGCCAGCGCAGGCCCCCCGAGCCGGCAGGAAUAUAGGUCACCCUAGGCUGGGGAGCUCCUGAGGUAACACAUGAGUUUGAUUACCACCUCUCCCUCACGUGCACCACAGCGGGGACAGAGGUGUUAAUCAAAGUGAUUUAUUACCUCACGGAACACUGCUGGCCAAGGCAGCAGCUGGGUGAUGGGUUGUAGGACACAAAAUGAAGAAAAUCUGCAAAGAGCCACAGUCUUGGGCUGAAAGCAGUUAGCCCCUGGUCACGGUGCUCUCGCUAACCCCAUGCCUGGUUAUCAGACCUCAGUGGGGGACACAGUUGAAUUACUCUGUUUUCCACCCAUGGAACAGUUCCAAACCCUGCAUGCCAGCCAAGGGGCAUCAGCUGAAGAGCCAAAAUCUGCUGUCAUACAUAAUAUUUUAAAUCCUUAUUUUCCACACCCUCCCACACCUCCCUCCAGGAAAGACUAGUGCUGUUUUGGCCUGUUAUGAUUAUGACUGAACCCGCAAAACCAAUAAAUAAUAUACAAUUGUAACAGAGGGGGAAAAAAUCCCCCACAGACAUUCAAAGUACUUUUCUGCCCCCAUUUGGAAGUACCAUAAGUGAUGACCCUGUUCUCUUUAUUCCUGUUUAUUUUGCAGAAGGCAAGGCUACAAAUGUAGCCCCAAAAAUGAAAGAUCCAGUUUUAAACCUGCAGAGGUCAUUUUUUUAGGUUAUGUAGAAGGAGGAUGUCCCAUAGCACAUUGAAAUCCAGCAACAUCCAAGGCAAGUGGGUUUUCUAAACCUGCUUUCCCUCCUUCCAGGCAGCACAGAAAUGCUCUUUACAAUGUCCAUCACCCACUUCUUAGCAAGGCAGAAUCUUUAAAAGCAAGAGUCCAAAAAAAAA